UACGUAGGGGGCAAGCGUUGUCCGGAAUCAUUGGGCGUAAAGAGCUCGUAGGCGGUUCGUCGCGUCGGCUGUGAAAACCUGAGGCUCAACCUCAGGCCUGCAGUCGAUACGGGCGGACUUGAGUACUGCAGGGGAGACUGGAAUUCCUGGUGUAGCGGUGAAAUGCGCAGAUAUCAGGAGGAACACCGGUGGCGAAGGCGGGUCUCUGGGCAGUAACUGACGCUGAGGAGCGAAAGCGUGGGGAGCGAACAGG
This 253-nucleotide ribosomal RNA is filed under the name uncultured bacterium. RNAcentral's name for it is "partial 16S ribosomal RNA". It matches the Rfam family "Bacterial small subunit ribosomal RNA", at positions 524 to 776 of the family's 1533-position model. The record is from RNAcentral.